Molecule: ribosomal RNA, 235 nt
Filed under: uncultured bacterium
Lineage: Bacteria
Description: partial 16S ribosomal RNA
Rfam family: Bacterial small subunit ribosomal RNA
Source: RNAcentral
CGUAAACAACCUGCCUUAAGGAUGGGGAUAACAGACGGAAACGACUGCUAAUACCGAAUACGUUCUAAGCAUCGCAUGGUGCAUAGAAGAAAGGGUGGCCUCUACAAGAAAGCUAUCGCCUUAAGAGGGGUUUGCGACUGAUUAGGUAGUUGGUGAGGUAACGGCUCACCAAGCCGACGAUCAGUAGCCGGUCUGAGAGGAUGAACGGCCACACUGGAACUGAGACACGGUCCAG